RNAcentral lists this ribosomal RNA (465 nucleotides) under uncultured bacterium. RNAcentral's name for it is "partial 16S ribosomal RNA". It matches the Rfam family "Bacterial small subunit ribosomal RNA", at positions 331 to 793 of the family's 1533-position model. The record is from RNAcentral.
CCAGACUCCUACGGGAGGCAGCAUUUAGGAAUAUUGGUCAAUGGCCGGAAGUCUUAACCAGCCAAUUCUCUUGAGGGACUACUUCCCUAUGGGUUUUAAACCUCUUUUAUCAUUGAAGAAUACAUUCUACGUGUAUCCUUAUGCCUGUACCUUCUUAAUAAGCAUCUUCUAACUACGUUCCAUCAGCCGCGUUAAUACGUAGGGGUCCAGCUUUAUCCGGAAUUACUGGGUGUAAAGGGAGCGCAGACGGCAGUGCAAGUCUGGAGUGAAAGUCCGUGGAGUAACCACGGGACUGCUCUGGAAACUGUGCAGCUAGAGUGCAGGAGAGGAAGGCGGAAUUCCUAGUGUAGCGGUGAAAUGCGUAGAGAUGAGGAGGAACACCGGUGGCGAAGGCGGCCUACUGGACUGUAACUGACGUUGAGGCUCGAAAGCGUGGGGAGCAAACAGGAUUAGAUACCCCCGUAA